CUCACUGGCUCUCUUACGUAUGAGAUGAGGACCAUGAUGGUAGGAGAAGUUUAGUGAAAGUCCCAGAACUUCCCCUUCUUAUCCAGAAAUACUGAAUCUCUGAAAGAGCUUUGGAGAUUAAUGCCACCAUUAAAGGGUUGAAAUAAGCAGGCACUGUGACACUUCUUACAAACCCAUUUAACUGGCCACUUUGGCCUGUGCAGAACUCAUAUUGUUACCAGAAAAAGGGGUCUCGAUCCAGAUGUAAAGAGGGGAUUCUUGGAUCUCACGCAGGAAGGAAUUCAAGGCGCCUGCUUCCCUAACGAUAUGGAUUAUGAAGAAUGUGGACUAUUGCAAAUGUAAUCAGCUGGUGACUUCAAUUACAGCUGCUGUACCAGAUGAGAAAUCUCUGCUGGAGAAAAUCAACAUAUUCUCUGGCACUUUGCAUGCAGGUACUGAUCUUACUCAUGCUUUUUUCUCAAACCAGUUUGCAAGGACCACCAGAAGCAGUUUACUUUUACCUGACAGGGUGAACAGUAUACACUCACAGUGUUGCCUGAAGGACAUGCCAGUUCUUCUGCUCUAAGCAAUGAUAUUGUCUGCAGAGAUCUAGUCAUCUUGUCAGUUCACGCAACAUUACACUGGUCCACUAAUAUUGACAAUAUUAUGCUUAUUGAAUCUGAAAAAGAGGAAGUAGCAAAGGUGGGAGAUGAUCUCCACAAAACUUAGGGGCCCUCCACCUCAGUGAAGUUUCUAGCAGGUUCAGAGGUGUGGAAUACGUUGAAAUAUCCCCUCCAAGUGAAAAACAAGUUGAUGUAUUUUGCGCCACCUCCUGUGAAAAAGAAACACAAUAUUCAGUUGGGCUUUGAGGAUUUUAGAUACAAC
Molecule: long non-coding RNA, 864 nt
Filed under: Homo sapiens (human)
Lineage: Eukaryota; Metazoa; Chordata; Mammalia; Primates; Hominidae
Description: HSALNT0274860
Source: RNAcentral